Molecule: ribosomal RNA, 249 nt
Filed under: uncultured bacterium
Lineage: Bacteria
Description: partial 16S ribosomal RNA
Rfam family: Bacterial small subunit ribosomal RNA
Source: RNAcentral
CUAACGAGUGGCGGACGGGUGAGUAACGCGUAGGAAUCUGCCCAGUAUGGGGGGACAACCCGGAGAAAUCCGGGCUAAUACCGCAUACGCCCUACGGGGGGAAAGGAGGGGGAUCUCUUCGGAGACCUUUCGCUAUUGGAUGAGCCUGCGUCGGAUUAGCUAGUUGGUAGGGUAACGGCCUACCAAGGCGACGAUCCGUAGCUGGUCUGAGAGGACGAUCAGCCACACUGGGACUGAGACACGGCCCAG